Molecule: ribosomal RNA, 510 nt
Filed under: uncultured bacterium
Lineage: Bacteria
Description: bacterial SSU rRNA
Rfam family: Bacterial small subunit ribosomal RNA
Source: RNAcentral
GAUGAACGCUGGCGGCGCGCUUAACACAUGCAAGUCGUGCGGUACCGAUGGCAAGUCUUCAUGACGAGCCUUCGGUAUAGCGGCGGACGGGUGAGUAACACGUGAGUAGCUGUCCUAGGGAGGGGGAUAACGCCUGGAAACGGGUGCUAAAACCCCAUAAGCCUCGCAAGAGGUGAAAGUGUACUUGUUACAGCCUUAGGGUGUGCUCGCGGCCUAUCAGCUAGUUGGUGAGGUAACGGCCUACCAAGGCGACGAUCAGUAGCCGACCUGAGAGGGUGAUCGGCCACAUUGGAACUGAGAUACGGGUCCCACUCCUACGGGAGGCAGCAGGCUAGAAAUUUGGGCAAUGGGGGAAACCCUGACCCAGUGACGCCGCGUGCAGGAAGGAGCCCUUCGGGGUGUAAACUGCUGUCGUGUAGGGAGAAGGGUACUAAGGUGAACAAGUCUUAGUACUUGACGGUACUACAGGAGGAAGCCAGGCUAACCUCGUGCCAGCAGCCGCGGUAAUAU